Molecule: ribosomal RNA, 425 nt
Filed under: uncultured Chlamydiae bacterium
Lineage: Bacteria; Pseudomonadati; Chlamydiota; Chlamydiia
Description: bacterial SSU rRNA
Rfam family: Bacterial small subunit ribosomal RNA
Source: RNAcentral
AACGCGAAGAACCUUACCCAGGCUCGAAAUGCAGAUGGCGAUACCAGAGAUGGUAUUUUCCGUAAGGACGUCUGUAUAGGUGCUGCAUGGCUGUCGUCAGCUCGUGCCGUGAGGUGUUGGGUUAAGUCCCGCAACGAGCGCAACCCUUAUCAUUAGUUGCCAACACUCUGGUGGGGACUCUAAUGAGACUGCCUAGGUUAACUAGGAGGAAGGUGAGGAUGACGUCAAGUCCGCAUGGCCUUUAUGUCUGGGGCUACACACGUGCUACAAUGGUCGGUACAGAAGGCAGCAAGACCGCAAGGUGGAGCAAAUCCGAAAAACCGAUCUCAGUUCAGAUUGUAGUCUGCAACUCGACUACAUGAAGCCGGAAUUGCUAGUAAUGACGUGUCAGCAACAGCGUCGUGAAUACGUUCCCGGGCCUUGUA